UUGUCGUCUUACCCAAAAUGCAAAUCAAAUUUUCUUUCACCUAUUCCUUUCUUAUCUACCGUCAAUGGCAACACUAUCCGCAGCUCACAAAAAUAAAAGUGGCUACUGCAUAACUUUCAGUAUGAUAUCAAGUUGCAGAGCUUCAAUGUAUUUCGAUGGCUAUUUUCUAGCGCCUCUUCUUCUCUUUCAAUGGUAUUCAUCUCACCUUCAAUGUAUGAAAAUGGAUGAAAGUGAAGAUCAGUUCAUUUGAAUAGAGAUUUAUACAGAAGUAGUUGUUAUUCAAUGUUUCUGCACCUUUAAAGUUAUUUAGAUUAGCUUGAUCUUCUUAUACUUCUUUAUACUUGUUCUGAAUAUGGACUGUUGUGGUGGUAUUAUUUUAGGUGUUCAAGCACUGCUUGGAAAUUGUAUAUGUCCAUGAGAUUGGAACACUAGUCUAUCUGACAAUCAGUGUAUAGUCCAGCUUCUAGACACAUAUUGUUGAAAGGAGUAUGUCUAAAGUUAAGU
Molecule: long non-coding RNA, 504 nt
Organism: Nicotiana attenuata
Lineage: Eukaryota; Viridiplantae; Streptophyta; Magnoliopsida; Solanales; Solanaceae
Exons: 3
Source: RefSeq, a predicted model, not a curated record